Molecule: ribosomal RNA, 496 nt
Filed under: uncultured bacterium
Lineage: Bacteria
Description: partial 16S ribosomal RNA
Rfam family: Bacterial small subunit ribosomal RNA
Source: RNAcentral
AUGAACGCUGGCGGCGUGCCUAAUACAUGCAAGUCGAGCGAACGGACGAGAAGCUUGCUUCUCUGAUGUUAGCGGCGGACGGGUGAGUAACACGUGGAUAACCUACCUAUAAGACUGGGAUAACUUCGGGAAACCGUAGCUAAUACCGGAUAAUAUUUUGAACCGCAUGGUUCAAAAGUGAAAGACGGUCUUGCUGUCACUUAUAGAUGGAUCCGCGCUGCAUUAGCUAGUUGGUAAGGUAACGGCUUACCAAGGCAACGAUGCAUAGCCGACCUGAGAGGGUGAUCGGCCACACUGGAACUGAGACACGGUCCAGACUCCUACGGGAGGCAGCAGUAGGGAAUCUUCCGCAAUGGGCGAAAGCCUGACGGAGCAACGCCGCGUGAGUGAUGAAGGUCCUCGGAUCGUAAAACUCUGUUAUUAGGGAAGAACAUAUGUGUAAGUAACUGUGCACAUCUUGACGGUACCUAAUCAGAAAGCCACGGCUAACUACGUG